UCCAGGGCAGAUCUUCCGGGCGACUCGCCCCGUGUUAGAAAUAGGAAAAUACAAUAAUAAAACAAGAAAGACAGAAAAAUGAGGCAACUUUGAUCACGCAUUCCCUCAUAACGUCCAUCCUAAACACACAUUUCCCUUUAGUUGGAAAGUCAUCGAAAGGCACCGAAGUGCAGGAGCCGUCAUCGGAGACCAGCGUCUACCAGAGUGCUCCUCAGCGGGGAUGAGAAGAGGACAGAGUGCUUAGCGCUUUGGUGACGGUCCAGCUAAGGGACUCUCUGCCGGGGAAGAACACCGUGGGAGGGAAUGACAACUCUACUGUACUCGGAAAACUCAGGAGUUAUGUUCCCUCACUCAAGAUUCCUCCAGGGCAGAUGUAAGGUGG
Molecule: long non-coding RNA, 382 nt
Organism: Conger conger (European conger)
Lineage: Eukaryota; Metazoa; Chordata; Actinopteri; Anguilliformes; Congridae
Exons: 3
Source: RefSeq, a predicted model, not a curated record